CAGAUUACAUGACUCAUUAUGCUGACAUCAGCAAAGCACAAAAAGAAAACAACUGUAUGACAAUCACAGCUACCAGAUACCAGAGUCAAGUUGAGGCUCAAAACAAUUAAUAAAAUAAUAAUCCUACUAUCCAUAUACUUUACAUGCUUUCUACUAGAAACAAAGAAUGGAUCUUGCAUGAAUGCUAUUGAAAAAAAAAAGGG
Molecule: unclassified non-coding RNA, 203 nt
Filed under: Hevea brasiliensis (rubber tree)
Lineage: Eukaryota; Viridiplantae; Streptophyta; Magnoliopsida; Malpighiales; Euphorbiaceae
Source: RNAcentral